UAGUUUAACAAAACUAACAGCUCUUUCAAGAUUAUGUGGUAGGUGGUGCAUGGCCGUUCUUAGUUCGUGAAGUGAUUCGUUCGCCCAAUCGCAUUUCCAAACAACUAACAACUCAGAAUGCUGGGCAAUAGGACGUUUAAAGUGGCUCCUUACACCUUACAAAGGAAUGGCUGAUGAGAAACAACUCGAUCCGCUCAGCGUUCUAUUGGAAUGCAACGGACGUGAUUGCAAGCUUUUGUUUUGAGUUGCGGUUUUACUGAAAGACUCUACAAUCCGCAAACUUCAAUGAUCUGAAGUAGAAAACCUACAUGCUAC
This 315-nucleotide ribosomal RNA is filed under the name Globigerinoides sacculifer. Its description in RNAcentral is "partial 18S ribosomal RNA". The record is from RNAcentral. Lineage: Eukaryota; Foraminifera; Rotaliida; Globigerinidae.